Molecule: long non-coding RNA, 392 nt
Filed under: Brassica napus (rape)
Lineage: Eukaryota; Viridiplantae; Streptophyta; Magnoliopsida; Brassicales; Brassicaceae
Description: long non-coding RNA (BNAP_LNC010775)
Source: RNAcentral
UUAUAAAAAUCCAAAAUAAAAAAAAAAAGAAAAAAGAAAGAGAAAAACAUCUAUAUAAACGAUCAAACUCCAAACACGAAAAUGAAUACGCUCCAAACAUUUCAUGAACAGAGCCCAUAUGAUAUAAUUGAUAUAUGAUGUGUUUUGUGUGUGUGUUUACAAUGGUGAGCAACGCUUUGCCACUACAUAGAUUAUAUGUUAUUCAUUUUUAAAGUACGAUAUUUGCUUGUACAAAAAAGUGCACGAAUAGUUAUAAAUUUUGGAAUUUUUUUACGACACUUUAUCACUUUGGAAUUACAUCCCAAGACACUUUCAACAUGUGACAACCUUUCAAGAUAGUGAAUGUCAUAGAUGUCCUCUUUCAAUAGAAAACCCAUAAACCAAACCACUCC